AUGACUGAGUGGCGAACGGGUGAGUAACACGUGGGCAACCUGCCCCAGACUCUGGGAUAACCUCGGGAAACCGAAGCUAAUACCGGAUACGACCACUUCAGACAUCUGAUGGUGGUGGAAAGUUUUUCGGUCUGGGUUGGGCCCGCGGCCUAUCAGCUAGUUGGUGGGGUAAUGGCCUACCAAGGCGACGACGGGUAGCCGGCCUGAGAGGGCGACCGGCCACACUGGAACUGAGACACGGUCCAGACUCC
RNAcentral lists this ribosomal RNA (251 nucleotides) under uncultured bacterium. RNAcentral describes it as "partial 16S ribosomal RNA". It matches the Rfam family "Bacterial small subunit ribosomal RNA", at positions 87 to 339 of the family's 1533-position model. The record is from RNAcentral.